UACGUAGGGUGCGAGCGUUGUCCGGAAUUAUUGGGCGUAAAGAGCUCGUAGGCGGUGUGUCACGUCGGCCGUGAAAACCUGCAGCUUAACUGUGGGCGUGCGGUCGAUACGGGCAUCACUUGAGUUCGGCAGGGGAGACUGGAAUUCCUGGUGUAGCGGUGAAAUGCGCAGAUAUCAGGAGGAACACCGGUGGCGAAGGCGGGUCUCUGGGCCGAUACUGACGCUGAGGAGCGAAAGCGUGGGGAGCAAACAGG
Molecule: ribosomal RNA, 254 nt
Filed under: uncultured bacterium
Lineage: Bacteria
Description: partial 16S ribosomal RNA
Rfam family: Bacterial small subunit ribosomal RNA
Source: RNAcentral